AGAGUGAACGCUGGCGGCAGGCCUAACACAUGCAAGUCGAGCGGCAGCACAGCAGUAGCAAUACUGUGGGUGGCGAGCGGCGGACGGGUGAGGAAUACAUCGGAAUCUACCCAGUCGUGGGGGAUAACGUAGGGAAACUUACGCUAAUACCGCAUACGACCUGAGGGUGAAAGCAGGGGAUCGCAAGACCUUGCGCGAUUGGAUGAGCCGAUGUCCGAUUAGCUAGUUGGUGAGGUAAAGGCUCACCAAGGCGACGAUCGGUAGCUGGUCUGAGAGGAUGAUCAGCCACACUGGAACUGAGACACGGUCCAGACUCCUACGGGAGGCAGCAGUGGGGAAUAUUGGACAAUGGGCG
RNAcentral lists this ribosomal RNA (355 nucleotides) under uncultured soil bacterium. RNAcentral describes it as "bacterial SSU rRNA". It matches the Rfam family "Bacterial small subunit ribosomal RNA", at positions 26 to 377 of the family's 1533-position model. The record is from RNAcentral.